Long non-coding RNA from Ornithodoros turicata, 329 nucleotides. RefSeq lists it as uncharacterized. NCBI's taxonomy places the organism in Eukaryota, Metazoa, Arthropoda, Arachnida, Ixodida, Argasidae. The transcript is spliced from 5 exons. The record is from RefSeq and is a predicted model, not a curated record.
UGUGGCGUUAUGCUUGACGUUGAAAGUCUGUGCUGUCGUGGUGAACUGAAGUGGACAUUGUUACUGCUUGUGCAUAAAGUGUGCCGUGGUGUGUUCCAAGAACGGGUGCGUCGCGGAAUUCGACGAAGGAAACCUUCACAGCGCCGAUGACUCUAAGAUCCCGCAACAGAACCAACUUAUCCCCGGGAUUAAACGCAGUCGUAUCUCCGAAUUUUCGUCAUUUACUCUCUGCGGAGGAACAGAAAUCAUAAAGGAGGAAUGGAAGCAAUCGAUGCUGGAAACAAAGGAACUACAGGGUAUCGAAACGCAAUGUGUCCAUCAGUUGUCCA